GGGCCCGCACAAGCGGUGGAGCAUGUGGUUUAAUUCGAUGAUACGCGAGGAACCUUACCAGGGCUUAAAUGGGAGAUGACAGGGGCAGAGACGCCCUUUUCUUCGGACAUCUUUCAAGGUGCUGCAUGGUUGUCGUCAGCUCGUGCCGUGAGGUGUCAGGUUAAGUCCUAUAACGAGCGCAACCCCUACCGUUAGUUGCCAGCGAGUCAUGUCGGGAACUCUAACGGAACUGCCGGUGCAAACCGUGAGGAAGGUGGGGACGACGUCAAAUCAUCACGGCCCUUACGUCCUGGCCACACACGUGCUACAAUGGUAGGUACAGAGGGAAGCCACCCCGCGAGGGGGAGCGGA
Molecule: ribosomal RNA, 351 nt
Filed under: uncultured bacterium
Lineage: Bacteria
Description: bacterial SSU rRNA
Rfam family: Bacterial small subunit ribosomal RNA
Source: RNAcentral